This is a long non-coding RNA of Syngnathus typhle (broad-nosed pipefish), 3888 nucleotides long. RefSeq lists it as uncharacterized. The record is from RefSeq and is a predicted model, not a curated record. The transcript has 2 exons. Lineage: Eukaryota; Metazoa; Chordata; Actinopteri; Syngnathiformes; Syngnathidae.
ACACUUAGCAGUGACGUAACGGCACAGUCGGAGUGCACGGAAAGCUGCGUGACUCACAUUUUUCAAGGAGUACGCUGCUUUCCUGUUGCAUACAAUGAAGUCUGGACAGUGUGAGAGCAAAACAGGAAACGCCGGGUCAUCGGUGGAAUUUGCAUUUAUGAAUGUGAGAGCGGCUACAAACAUCUGAAGUAGGACAAUAGUCAGAUGUUCAGUUCCCACUCACCGAUGGUGAAAUGAUCCUUUAGACCAGGGAUGAUCAACUGUGGUCGUGGAGGAUCGGGAUUUUGGAUUUCUCCCUCUUCCAAAUCACCUGCCUCCCCCACACCCGAUUCAAAUGAUCAGGAAUGUUCCCCUCAAGGAUCGGAGUUGCCCCCACUCACCUUCGAGCCAGAACUAGUCCAUAAACCCACGACCCUGAACAGGAGGUUACACGUUAAUGAUGCAUGGCAUUUAAGUUUUGGACUAACCUGAAAUGAAUGAUCCUACCUUAUUUUCCCAUGGGGAGUUUCCAAUUGAGGAAAAUUCCUGUUAUUUUGCAGCACCAAUUACCACCAUGUGUUUUGUCAUUUGAGUUUGACAAAGGAGCAGAUGGAACAAUCGAUUCCAUUUCCCCAUGUUGAAAUGUUAUGUCAUCCAUGAAAGAUGAGAUACUCUAUGCCCUAACUGAUGGCUUUAGCAACAUCCAGAGAAGAAAGAUCAUGCGGUCACAAAGGAAGAGCAUUCAUUAGACGGGAACAUCGUGGUUAUGUGUCUCUUGAUUUCAUAACAAGUCUUCCAACCACCAGUGUUAUUUGUGGUGGAUGCUGAGGCGACAGUCAGACAAUUUGCAACUUGGAUCAGCCAUUUGUUCUGCUGUGGGUCAGAGCAUCGUGUUUGCUGCUGUGUCACAAUAGUCUAUAAAAAGCUCAUUGAGAACAUUUUGCUGCCAUGGUAAAUUAUGCACAUUUUAGUGUUUUAACUCCCUCUUGCUAUUUUGGGUGUGUAAGUCCUCUCAGGCACCAGUGAAAAUCAAUGUGUGUGUACUUGUGUGUGUGCUGUGCGGACACAAUAGGCCCACAGCGCAGGCCGUAUCUGGACUUCAUUUACUCCUCGUCUGAUAAUAAGUGUCUCCUCUCUGCUGUACUCAAUUACAUCUUCAUUAGGUUGCUAACUUGCUCCCAACUAACCAUCAACGUACGUGCAGAUUUUAAGUCCGUGUGACAUUAUUUACCAAGAUGGCUGAGUCCACAGGUGAAAGGAGCGAGGGCUAAAGCGUGAUACAAGAAUUAUACCUUCAUCUCUCAGGACCAUUCAGCGUCUGGAGCCGUAGUCUCCGGUCUCAUCAUAGCAUCAAUUCAUUUUCAUUUAUCCACUGAUGAACUCAGUUCCUUCAUCAUUUACUCGAGGCGGUCUCUAAACAAGAUGAGUGGCUGACGUGGUGACCUCUUCUAGUCAGGGUCUGCCAAUCAAAUUCUAGACACAUUAUAAUCAGCAGAUAAACAAUCAGUGUUGCCAUUCCGCAAGAUGAGAUGUUACAUCAGACUCAGAGUCAAGACUCAAGAGUAAAGGCUCAUGCUGCAUAGUUAACAGCUGGGAAUUGACUAGAUUCACUGGACAUGUCAUUAGGAACACUCAAGACUUUUAUGUAGCUGGAUAUGCUUUAUUGUAUGAUCUGCAUUUAUAUUACUGGUCCUAUUAUUGUUUAUAGGUUUAUCAUAUUUUAGGUUAUUUAUUUAUUUAAUGCAUGGAAUUGUAGUUACCACCAUGUGAAUGGCUUGUAGUUAUCAUAGGAUUACUAAGUCCACCACUUUCAUUAAGUUCCACUAUCAUGUGUCAUUUUGGGCCUAAUGAAUGAAUGAAACUUUAUUACAUAUGUCGUACAUUUAGACUGUAACAGGUCCCUUGAUGGUGUUCUUUCUAAGCAAUUGACUUUUGAAGCAUUUGGAAGAGGUUUUAUUUUUUAAUCGCAUUGAAUUGCUGGGCAGUGUCAACCCUCUAAGAGACCAUGUUACAUUUGUUGGUGAGGUAACAUCCAGGCAGAAUCCUCGCCAUGCUAAAUGGUCUGUUAAAAAAUAAAUUCCAACUAAGCACAGAAACACUGCUUAAAGAAGUGUGACCGUUUAGCUACAUUAGUGCUAUUUAAGAAGAACAGGAAGAAAGACAUUAUCAUGACAAAUAUAUAAUUGUUUUUCUCCAUGACUACAUUUUCUUCAUCCCUUUCACCAAUCAGCUCUGGCUUCUGUCUCAUUCAGUGUCGGUAAAAUAUUGAGACAGAGUUCAGAGAGGAGGCAAAGUCUGUGAAGCGAAUGGCUGUUAAUAAGACAAACAGUGAGGGAGAGUAUCUUAAAUAAGCAGCCCUCCUUCCACUGGCCACUGGCGCCAUUUCAACAAGUAGUUCCGCACAAGCAAAUCUGUCAGUCAGCUCAUGGCGUGUGUGACGGCUUUCAGCAGACAGCUCUCGUUUGAACAUUGAGAAGCAAAAAAAUAAUAAAAAAUCUGUCACUGUGACUAAGUGAAGGAUCCUUAGUCAGAGGAUUUUCCAUUGUUUCAUCUCUUAUUUUUUUUAAAAAGAUUGGUGUUGUUUCAUCUAGUUACAUUUUAUGAAUAUUAGGGCUGUGCACCAAUCGGUGGUGAGGGAAACACCGAAUCUCACUUUUUGCAUUCAAGUCAGAACAGGUCAGGCCAAAACACAAACUUCAAUGGCAGGAGAUGAAAACAAACAGACUAGGGCUUAGGGCUAGCUAGCAGCUGGCACAACGCAAGCAGAUGGAUUUAAAAUUGGUCCAAAAGAACACCAUGGGUUUUGCCGUUGGCCAGAGUACGGCGAGGGAUCGUGAGGGUUUAGGAAAGUUAUUUGAAGCUAAAAUGGAAAACCUUUACCUAAGUUAAUUCAUUGAUGUCCACGUCACCAUGUCUUCCAGGCUUGACAGUAUGGUGUAGUUAAUGCGCUACAUACAUGCAAUGGUGAUCAAGAUUUUUUGGACUUUAAUAUAAUUUUGGCUAAAGUACAAUUAGUAAUCCAUUUGAGUUAAUUCAGAACGAGGGACACGUCAAAAACACGGUGGAUAGGUGCCCUGGAAGACCGGACUUGGUGACCCCCCUGGUUUAACGGAUGUUCAAAGUAGUAUGCUUCUUCUACACUUAAUAUUUUAUUUGAAACAUUGCUCGUACAUUUGAUAAAAUUUUAUGAUGGUGAAAAUUUGACUAUUAAAAAAAGGAGUUUCAACUACAAACCUUUCAUUACAGAUUUUUUUCUUUUCUAAACAAACCUUACAAUGUCAUAAGAAUAUUCUGUCUCCAGAGUUGGAGAGGCGGUCGCAACCUACAUCAGUUUUGGAACAAAGUUAAAACAUGCAUUGUUGUUCUGCGGUGCCUUUGACGCACUUCCCUUUCAAGCUGUCUUGGCUGCGUGUCUGAGCUAAAUUUGUGUCUUUCCUCAUGUGUUGGCAGAAGUGAAACUCAAAGCACGAUCAGAGCACGCAUACAGGAAGCAAAGUUACAGUGUACACAAUGAAGAAUGCUUGAGCAGACAUCAGACAUCGGCUCUGUUAUAAUACACGGCGGCAAAAGUCACACGGCACCAAAGGUGAAGCCACAUUGUUUCUUGUCAAGUAUACGUUUGAAAUGUUUGUGUUGAAAGUCAAAUAUGGCCAGCAAAUGUCACCCUGUCUCUUAUAAACCUACUUUGGAUUUGGUUUCCAUCAACAUAAAGGGCAUAAAAAGGCAAAGACUGCAAGCAAAUGGUCUUUUAUGUAUCCACUGCAUGCACUCAACUUCAUGACAUUUGAUACAAAACAAAGCAAUAACAAGAACUGUACAGUGAAACAACAGAAUAUAAAUGACAUUUUGAUAUUACACAGCAGAGACUUAAAGUUAAACUAAAGUGCUGCAUAGUUUUGCUACACAAAG